AAUUCAUUUUAAAACGUAUAUAGAACAAGGUAUACGGAAAUAGUAUAUUUACAAAUAGAAUAGUAUCUCUCAAAUUGCAACAACAAAACUCAAUUUCAUCACCAAGACACCAAGCGCAAUAACGAAAGUCGACUCUCUGAAUCCAAAUUGUGUUCCUUCCUCUGUAAUUCGAAACCCCCAGAUCAAAUCUCACCCAAAAGUAAUUAAGAGACUCUGAUUUGAAAACAAAAAUAAGUAACGAUGUAGCUGUAAGGACUUUACUGGGGAGAAAGAGAGAGGGGGAGGGAAAAAGAAAGAGAGAGAAAGAGAGAGGGGGAGAGGGAGAAAGAGAGAGGAGAGAGAGAACGGAAGAGAGAGGUACACAGAAAGAGAGAUGAGAGAAAUAGAUAGAAAGGUGAAUUUGGAAUUAAUAUACAAAAUAUAGAGGAUAUCAGUUUUUUUUU
RNAcentral lists this small RNA (443 nucleotides) under Arabidopsis thaliana (thale cress). Its description in RNAcentral is "ATSL174280". The record is from RNAcentral. Lineage: Eukaryota; Viridiplantae; Streptophyta; Magnoliopsida; Brassicales; Brassicaceae.